Molecule: ribosomal RNA, 119 nt
Organism: Salarias fasciatus (jewelled blenny)
Lineage: Eukaryota; Metazoa; Chordata; Actinopteri; Blenniiformes; Blenniidae
Source: Ensembl
GCUUACGGCCAUACUACCCUGAAAAUGCCCGAUCUCGUCUGAUCUCGGAAGCCAAGCAGGGUCAGGCCUUGUCAGUACUUGGAUGGGAGACCGCCUGGGAAUACCAGGUGCCGUAAGCU